Alosa sapidissima (American shad) is the source of this 425-nucleotide long non-coding RNA. RefSeq lists it as uncharacterized. The transcript is spliced from 3 exons. The record is from RefSeq and is a predicted model, not a curated record. NCBI's taxonomy places the organism in Eukaryota, Metazoa, Chordata, Actinopteri, Clupeiformes, Clupeidae.
AAUGUUAUGAGAGUAUUAUAUGGGAUAUUUUACGGGAAAAUAUUUAAACGGGAAGACAGCGGAAAAACGUUACAAUACGUGAGAAACUCGGAAAGAACGGGAGGGUUAACGGGAGGUAUGCUGGUUUCAUGAGGUUGGGCCAACUGGACUGUUGGUGUGGUUUGCUAAUGCCCCAUGAGCUGGUUACGCCUUCACCCACCUGCCCAACCCCUACAGCAUGCACCACUGGGGAACGUACCGCUUGGCUGCUUGCAUGUUAAGGAAGACAACUGUGUCAGGGGGAAUGAGCACUUGAGUGUUUCCCAAAAGCAGGCUAAGCAGAAGGAAACAAGUGGAUGGCCAAAGGAUACGUGUUCAGUGGGACCUCUGCCUUACUGAUGAUUGCACUAGCAGUCUCCUGGAUGUCCUUCAUUUCCACUGGGGCU